UACGUAGGGCGCAAGCGUUGUCCGGAAUCACUGGGCGUAAAGGGCGCGUAGGUGGCGCCCCAAGUCCGUGGUGAAAGCUCGAUGCUCAACAUCGAGUCGGCCACGGAAACUGGGGGGCUCGAGCACUGUAGAGGCAGAUGGAAUUCCGGGUGUAGCGGUGGAAUGCGUAGAGAUCCGGAAGAACACCGGUGGCGAAGGCGGUCUGCUGGGCAGUAGCUGACACUGAGGCGCGACAGCGUGGGGAGCAAACAGG
RNAcentral lists this ribosomal RNA (253 nucleotides) under uncultured bacterium. Its description in RNAcentral is "partial 16S ribosomal RNA". It matches the Rfam family "Bacterial small subunit ribosomal RNA", at positions 524 to 776 of the family's 1533-position model. The record is from RNAcentral.